UACGGAGGGUGCAAGCGUUAUCCGGAUUCACUGGGUUUAAAGGGCGCGUAGGUGGGCUAGUAAGUCCGUGGUGAAAUCUCCGAGCUUAACUUGGAAACUGCCAUGGAUACUAUAGGUCUUGAAUACUGUGGAGGUCAGCGGAAUAUGUCAUGUAGCGGUGAAAUGCUUAGAUAUGACAUAGAACACCAAUUGCGAAGGCAGCUGGCUACACAAAUAUUGACACUGAGGCACGAAAGCGUGGGGAUCAAACAGG
RNAcentral lists this ribosomal RNA (253 nucleotides) under uncultured bacterium. RNAcentral describes it as "partial 16S ribosomal RNA". It matches the Rfam family "Bacterial small subunit ribosomal RNA", at positions 524 to 776 of the family's 1533-position model. The record is from RNAcentral.